This 629-nucleotide ribosomal RNA is filed under the name uncultured Alphaproteobacteria bacterium. Its description in RNAcentral is "bacterial SSU rRNA". It matches the Rfam family "Bacterial small subunit ribosomal RNA", at positions 86 to 752 of the family's 1533-position model. Lineage: Bacteria; Pseudomonadati; Pseudomonadota; Alphaproteobacteria. The record is from RNAcentral.
UCGGGCUUAGUGGCGCACGGGUGCGUAACGCGUGGGAAUCUGCCCUUGGGUUCGGAAUAACAGUUAGAAAUGACUGCUAAUACCGGAUGAUGUCUUCGGACCAAAGAUUUAUCGCCCAAGGAUGAGCCCGCGUAGGAUUAGGUAGUUGGUGGGGUAAAGGCCUACCAAGCCGACGAUCCUUAGCUGGUCUGAGAGGAUGAUCAGCCACACUGGGACUGAGACACGGCCCAGACUCCUACGGGAGGCAGCAGUGGGGAAUAUUGGACAAUGGGGGAAACCCUGAUCCAGCAAUGCCGCGUGAGUGAUGAAGGCCUUAGGGUCGUAAAGCUCUUUUACCCGGGAUGAUAAUGACAGUACCGGGAGAAUAAGCUCCGGCUAACUCCGUGCCAGCAGCCGCGGUAAUACGGAGGGAGCUAGCGUUGUUCGGAAUUACUGGGCGUAAAGCGCGCGUAGGCGGUUAUUCAAGUCAGAGGUGAAAGCCCGGGGCUCAACCCCGGAACUGCCUUUGAAACUAGAUGACUAGAAUCUUGGAGAGGUCAGUGGAAUUCCGAGUGUAGAGGUGAAUUCGUAGAUAUUCGGAAGAACACCAGUGGCGAAGGCGACUGACUGACAAGUAUUGACGCUGAGGU